This 564-nucleotide ribosomal RNA is filed under the name Bifidobacterium animalis subsp. lactis. RNAcentral's name for it is "bacterial SSU rRNA". It matches the Rfam family "Bacterial small subunit ribosomal RNA", at positions 146 to 710 of the family's 1533-position model. Lineage: Bacteria; Bacillati; Actinomycetota; Actinomycetes; Bifidobacteriales; Bifidobacteriaceae. The record is from RNAcentral.
UCUCCUGGAAAACGGGUGGUAAUACCGGAUGCUCCGCUCCAUCGCAUGGUGGGGUGGGAAAUGCUUUUGCGGCAUGGGAUGGGGUCGCGUCCUAUCAGCUUGUUGGCGGGGUGAUGGCCCACCAAGGCGUUGACGGGUAGCCGGCCUGAGAGGGUGACCGGCCACAUUGGGACUGAGAUACGGCCCAGACUCCUACGGGAGGCAGCAGUGGGGAAUAUUGCACAAUGGGCGCAAGCCUGAUGCAGCGACGCCGCGUGCGGGAUGGAGGCCUUCGGGUUGUAAACCGCUUUUGUUCAAGGGCAAGGCACGGUUUCGGCCGUGUUGAGUGGAUUGUUCGAAUAAGCACCGGCUAACUACGUGCCAGCAGCCGCGGUAAUACGUAGGGUGCGAGCGUUAUCCGGAUUUAUUGGGCGUAAAGGGCUCGUAGGCGGUUCGUCGCGUCCGGUGUGAAAGUCCAUCGCCUAACGGUGGAUCUGCGCCGGGUACGGGCGGGCUGGAGUGCGGUAGGGGAGACUGGAAUUCCCGGUGUAACGGUGGAAUGUGUAGAUAUCGGAAAAGAACACC